RNAcentral lists this unclassified non-coding RNA (1149 nucleotides) under Hevea brasiliensis (rubber tree). The record is from RNAcentral. Lineage: Eukaryota; Viridiplantae; Streptophyta; Magnoliopsida; Malpighiales; Euphorbiaceae.
AUUUGAGAUCCCUCUUAAACAAGAGAAGCUCAUUUUCAAAAUUGCUGGGCCUUUUUCUACCUUUUCCUUUCUUUGCAUGCUUCCAUAACAGAAGAACCCCCUCCCUCCUUUGGUUCUUGGGGCACUAAAAAGCUGUAGUGUAUUUGAGGGUACACUUGUCAUUUAACAUCAACCCAAUGAGCAACUAGGUAUUUUCAAUGAAGCUAUAGGGACGCCCAUUUGGUUCCCCAUCAACCUUUUGCAAAGAAUCUAGAAUUAUAUCCUCUCUCUCAACUUCCAUAUUUAAAAACCCUCACCUCAGGCUUCUCAUGGAAACCCAAAAACACACUCCUUUCUCUAACAUGGCAACCAUUCAAUCUUCAACAACCAAUACUUCUUUCUCCAAGUAUCUCCAGUCCCUUUCACAAACCCCUCACAGGCUUAAAAGGAGAAUGCUAGCUACAUGGACCCCAGACCAAGAACUUAACCAAGUAAGGCUAAGGUCUGGUGCAGAUAUGAAGAGGAAACUCAAGUGGCAUGACUUAAUAGCUCUUGGUGUAGGAGGCAUGCUUGGUGUUGGUGUCUUUGUCACCACUGGCUCUGUGGCUCAUGAGGACUCUGGCCCUGCAGUUUUCAUAUCUUAUAUUAUUGCUGGCAUAUCAGCUCUUCUUUCUUCUUUAUGUUACACUGAAUUUUCUGUCCAGAUUCCUGUUGCCGGGGGCGCCUUCAGUUACCUGAGAGUAACCUUUGGAGAGUUUGUAGGCUAUUUUGCUGGGGCAAACAUCCUGCUGGAGUAUGUAUUAUCAAAUGCUGCGGUUGCAAGAAGUUUCACCGACUAUCUUUGCCAUGCCUUGGGAGAGAAUGACUCAGACUCAUGGAGAGUUGAAGUGGAUGGACUAGUGAAGGGUUAUGAUAAGUUGGAUUUCACAGCAGUUGUUCUUAUUCUUCUUCUCACUCUCUGUCUUUGCCAUAGGUUUGAUCGCUUGUUAUGACCUUUAUUUUCUUGUUUACCCCCCGUUUUCCUUGUAUGUAUGAACAGUAUAUUGCUAUUUUCUUAAUCUUGGUACAGGCAAUUGUUUUUGUCACUAUACCUUUCUUUAGCAAGCGUAAGUUGGCAUUUUGGCUUAUUAGUGAAUUACUGAAUUUAGAAUAGUAGUUCUUAAUGUUGGA